RNAcentral lists this ribosomal RNA (2931 nucleotides) under Escherichia coli. Its description in RNAcentral is "23S ribosomal RNA". It matches the Rfam family "Bacterial large subunit ribosomal RNA". Lineage: Bacteria; Pseudomonadati; Pseudomonadota; Gammaproteobacteria; Enterobacterales; Enterobacteriaceae. The record is from RNAcentral.
GGGUUGUGAGGUUAAGCGACUAAGCGUACACGGUGGAUGCCCUGGCAGUCAGAGGCGAUGAAGGACGUGCUAAUCUGCGAUAAGCGUCGGUAAGGUGAUAUGAACCGUUAUAACCGGCGAUUUCCGAAUGGGGAAACCCAGUGUGAUUCGUCACACUAUCAUUAACUGAAUCCAUAGGUUAAUGAGGCGAACCGGGGGAACUGAAACAUCUAAGUACCCCGAGGAAAAGAAAUCAACCGAGAUUCCCCCAGUAGCGGCGAGCGAACGGGGAGGAGCCCAGAGCCUGAAUCAGUGUGUGUGUUAGUGGAAGCGUCUGGAAAGGCGCGCGAUACAGGGUGACAGCCCCGUACACAAAAAUGCACAUGCUGUGAGCUCGAUGAGUAGGGCGGGACACGUGGUAUCCUGUCUGAAUAUGGGGGGACCAUCCUCCAAGGCUAAAUACUCCUGACUGACCGAUAGUGAACCAGUACCGUGAGGGAAAGGCGAAAAGAACCCCGGCGAGGGGAGUGAAAAAGAACCUGAAACCGUGUACGUACAAGCAGUGGGAGCACGCUUAGGCGUGUGACUGCGUACCUUUUGUAUAAUGGGUCAGCGACUUAUAUUCUGUAGCAAGGUUAACCGAAUAGGGGAGCCGAAGGGAAACCGAGUCUUAACUGGGCGUUAAGUUGCAGGGUAUAGACCCGAAACCCGGUGAUCUAGCCAUGGGCAGGUUGAAGGUUGGGUAACACUAACUGGAGGACCGAACCGACUAAUGUUGAAAAAUUAGCGGAUGACUUGUGGCUGGGGGUGAAAGGCCAAUCAAACCGGGAGAUAGCUGGUUCUCCCCGAAAGCUAUUUAGGUAGCGCCUCGUGAAUUCAUCUCCGGGGGUAGAGCACUGUUUCGGCAAGGGGGUCAUCCCGACUUACCAACCCGAUGCAAACUGCGAAUACCGGAGAAUGUUAUCACGGGAGACACACGGCGGGUGCUAACGUCCGUCGUGAAGAGGGAAACAACCCAGACCGCCAGCUAAGGUCCCAAAGUCAUGGUUAAGUGGGAAACGAUGUGGGAAGGCCCAGACAGCCAGGAUGUUGGCUUAGAAGCAGCCAUCAUUUAAAGAAAGCGUAAUAGCUCACUGGUCGAGUCGGCCUGCGCGGAAGAUGUAACGGGGCUAAACCAUGCACCGAAGCUGCGGCAGCGACGCUUAUGCGUUGUUGGGUAGGGGAGCGUUCUGUAAGCCUGCGAAGGUGUGCUGUGAGGCAUGCUGGAGGUAUCAGAAGUGCGAAUGCUGACAUAAGUAACGAUAAAGCGGGUGAAAAGCCCGCUCGCCGGAAGACCAAGGGUUCCUGUCCAACGUUAAUCGGGGCAGGGUGAGUCGACCCCUAAGGCGAGGCCGAAAGGCGUAGUCGAUGGGAAACAGGUUAAUAUUCCUGUACUUGGUGUUACUGCGAAGGGGGGACGGAGAAGGCUAUGUUGGCCGGGCGACGGUUGUCCCGGUUUAAGCGUGUAGGCUGGUUUUCCAGGCAAAUCCGGAAAAUCAAGGCUGAGGCGUGAUGACGAGGCACUACGGUGCUGAAGCAACAAAUGCCAUGCUUCCAGGAAAAGCCUCUAAGCAUCAGGUAACAUCAAAUCGUACCCCAAACCGACACAGGUGGUCAGGUAGAGAAUACCAAGGCGCUUGAGAGAACUCGGGUGAAGGAACUAGGCAAAAUGGUGCCGUAACUUCGGGAGAAGGCACGCUGAUAUGUAGGUGAAGCGACUUGCUCGUGGAGCUGAAAUCAGUCGAAGAUACCAGCUGGCUGCAACUGUUUAUUAAAAACACAGCACUGUGCAAACACGAAAGUGGACGUAUACGGUGUGACGCCUGCCCGGUGCCGGAAGGUUAAUUGAUGGGGUCAGCGCAAGCGAAGCUCUUGAUCGAAGCCCCGGUAAACGGCGGCCGUAACUAUAACGGUCCUAAGGUAGCGAAAUUCCUUGUCGGGUAAGUUCCGACCUGCACGAAUGGCGUAAUGAUGGCCAGGCUGUCUCCACCCGAGACUCAGUGAAAUUGAACUCGCUGUGAAGAUGCAGUGUACCCGCGGCAAGACGGAAAGACCCCGUGAACCUUUACUAUAGCUUGACACUGAACAUUGAGCCUUGAUGUGUAGGAUAGGUGGGAGGCUUUGAAGUGUGGACGCCAGUCUGCAUGGAGCCGACCUUGAAAUACCACCCUUUAAUGUUUGAUGUUCUAACGUUGACCCGUAAUCCGGGUUGCGGACAGUGUCUGGUGGGUAGUUUGACUGGGGCGGUCUCCUCCUAAAGAGUAACGGAGGAGCACGAAGGUUGGCUAAUCCUGGUCGGACAUCAGGAGGUUAGUGCAAUGGCAUAAGCCAGCUUGACUGCGAGCGUGACGGCGCGAGCAGGUGCGAAAGCAGGUCAUAGUGAUCCGGUGGUUCUGAAUGGAAGGGCCAUCGCUCAACGGAUAAAAGGUACUCCGGGGAUAACAGGCUGAUACCGCCCAAGAGUUCAUAUCGACGGCGGUGUUUGGCACCUCGAUGUCGGCUCAUCACAUCCUGGGGCUGAAGUAGGUCCCAAGGGUAUGGCUGUUCGCCAUUUAAAGUGGUACGCGAGCUGGGUUUAGAACGUCGUGAGACAGUUCGGUCCCUAUCUGCCGUGGGCGCUGGAGAACUGAGGGGGGCUGCUCCUAGUACGAGAGGACCGGAGUGGACGCAUCACUGGUGUUCGGGUUGUCAUGCCAAUGGCACUGCCCGGUAGCUAAAUGCGGAAGAGAUAAGUGCUGAAAGCAUCUAAGCACGAAACUUGCCCCGAGAUGAGUUCUCCCUGACUCCUUGAGAGUCCUGAAGGAACGUUGAAGACGACGACGUUGAUAGGCCGGGUGUGUAAGCGCAGUGAUGCGUUGAGCUAACCGGUACUAAUGAACCGUGAGGCUUAACCUUACAACGCCGAAGGUGUUU